ACGAACGCUGGCGGCGUGCUUAACCCCUGCAAGUCGAACGGGUCUGCCCUGUUUUUUGCGGGGUGGGUCAGUGGCGAACGGGUGAGUAACACGUGAGUAACCUGCCCCUCACUUCUGGAUAACCGCUUGAAAGGGUGGCUAAUACGGGGUGUUCUGGCUGUGCCGCAUGGUGUGGCUGGGAAAGCUUCACUUUUGUGGUGUUUUGGUGGGGGAUGGGCUCGCGGCCUAUCAGCUUGUUGGUGGGGUGAUGGCCUGCCAAGGCUUUGACGGGUAGCCGGACUGGGUGGGUGGGCGGUCACGCUGGGACGGAGCGCCCCGCCAUCCUCCGGCGGGAGGCAGCGGGGGGGGUUGGUGCACAAGGGGGGGAAGCCUGAUCCAGCGACGGCGGGGGAGGGAGGGAGUCCGUCGGGUUUGUAACUUUUUUCGGCGGGAAAAGAAGCCCUCGUUUUUUUGGUGGGGUUGACGGUAGCCGGUGAAUGAAGCCCCGGCUAACUACUG
RNAcentral lists this ribosomal RNA (498 nucleotides) under uncultured bacterium. Its description in RNAcentral is "partial 16S ribosomal RNA". It matches the Rfam family "Bacterial small subunit ribosomal RNA", at positions 29 to 506 of the family's 1533-position model. The record is from RNAcentral.